Molecule: ribosomal RNA, 468 nt
Filed under: uncultured bacterium
Lineage: Bacteria
Description: partial 16S ribosomal RNA
Rfam family: Bacterial small subunit ribosomal RNA
Source: RNAcentral
GAUGAACGCUGGCGGCGUGCUUAACACAUGCAAGUCGAACGGAAAGGCCAGUGCUUGCACUGGUACUCGAGUGGCGAACGGGUGAGUAACACGUGGGUGAUCUGCCCUGUACUUCGGGAUAAGCUUGGGAAACUGGGUCUAAUACCGGAUAGGACAACUUUUUGGAUAUUGUUGUGGAAAGCUUUUGCGGUAUGGGAUGAGCUCGCGGCCUAUCAGCUUGUUGGUGGGGUAAUGGCCUACCAAGGCGUCGACGGGUAGCCGGCCUGAGAGGGUGUACGGCCACAUUGGGACCGAGAUACGGCCCAGACUCCUACGGGAGGCAGCAGUGGGGAAUAUUGCACAAUGGGCGCAAGCCUGAUGCAGCGACGCCGCGUGGGGGAUGAAGGCCUUCGGGUUGUAAACUCCUUUCGCUAGGGACGAAGCUUUUUUGUGACGGUACCUGGAGAAGAAGCACCGGCUAACUACGUG